AACGUAGGAGACAAACGUUAUCCGGAGUUACUGGGCGUAAAGGGCGUGUAGGUGGUUUUGUAAGUCUGGCGUGAAAUUUUUCGGCUUAACCGGGAAAGGUCGUCGGAUACUGCAAGGCUAGAGGACGGUAGAGGCGUGUGGAAUUCCGGGUGUAGUGGUGAAAUGCGUAGAGAUCCGGAGGAACACCAGUGGCGAAGGCGACACGCUGGGCCGUACCUGACACUGAUGCGCGACAGCAUGGGGGAGCAAACAGG
Molecule: ribosomal RNA, 254 nt
Filed under: uncultured bacterium
Lineage: Bacteria
Description: partial 16S ribosomal RNA
Rfam family: Bacterial small subunit ribosomal RNA
Source: RNAcentral